Molecule: ribosomal RNA, 461 nt
Filed under: uncultured bacterium
Lineage: Bacteria
Description: partial 16S ribosomal RNA
Rfam family: Bacterial small subunit ribosomal RNA
Source: RNAcentral
CCUACGGGAGGCAGCAGUGAGGAAUAUUGGUCAAUGGGCGCAAGCCUGAACCAGCCAAGUCGCGUGAGGGAUGACGGUCCUAUGGAUUGUAAACCUCUUUUGUCGGGGAGCAAGGCCCGCCACGUGUGGCGGGAAGGAGAGUACCCGAAGAAAAAGCAUCGGCUAACUCCGUGCCAGCAGCCGCGGUAAUACGGAGGAUGCGAGCGUUAUCCGGAUUUAUUGGGUUUAAAGGGUGCGUAGGCGGAUUGAUAAGUUAGAGGUGAAAUGUCCGAGCUUAACUCGGGAACUGCCUCUAAUACUGUUGAUCUAGAGAGUAGAUGCGGUAGGCGGAAUGUAUGGUGUAGCGGUGAAAUGCUUAGAGAUCAUACAGAACCCCGAUUGCGAAGGCAGCUUACUAAACUGUGACUGACAUUGAUGCUCGAAAGUGUGGGUAUCAAACAGGAUUAGAUACCCCGGUAGUC